UCCGGUUUGUCACCGGCAGUCUCCUAUGAGUCCCCAACUGAAUGCUGGCAACAUAGGACAAGGGUUGCGCUCGUUGCGGGACUUAACCCAACAUCUCACGACACGAGCUGACGACAGCCAUGCACCACCUAUCGCCGGCCCCGAAGGACACCGUAUCUCUACGGCUUUUCCGGCGUAGUUCAACCCAGGUAAGGUUCUUCGCGUCGCCUCGAAUUAAGGCACAUGCACCGCCGCUUGUGCGGGCCCCCGUCGAUUCCUUUGAGUUUUAGCCUUGCGGCCGUACUCCCCAGGCGGGGUGCUUAAUGCGUUAGCUGCGGCACGGACGGAGUCGACACCGCCCACACCUAGCACCCAUCGUUUACGGCGUGGACUAC
RNAcentral lists this unclassified non-coding RNA (374 nucleotides) under uncultured Actinomycetes bacterium. RNAcentral describes it as "uncultured actinobacterium contains 16S-23S intergenic spacer region". Lineage: Bacteria; Bacillati; Actinomycetota; Actinomycetes. The record is from RNAcentral.